UGGGGAAUUUUGCACAAUGGGGGAAACCCUGAUGCAGCGACGCCGCGUGAUUUAGAAGGCCUUCGGGUUGUAAAAAUCUUUUCUAUGGGAAGAAAAUGACAGUACCAUAGGAAUAAGGACCGGCUAAUUACGUGCCAGCAGCCGCGGUAAUACGUAAGGUCCGAGCGUUGUCCGGAAUCAUUGGGCGUAAAGGGUACGUAGGCGGGUAAGCAAGUUAGAAGUGAAAUCCUAUAGCUCAACUAUAGUAAGCUUUUAAAACUGCUCAUCUUGAGGUGUGGAAGGGAAAGUGGAAUUCCUAGUGUAGCGGUGAAAUGCGCAGAUAUUAGGAGGAAUACCGGUGGCGAAGGCGACUUUCUGGCCAUAACCUGACGCUGAGGUACGAAAGCGUGGGUAGCAAACAGG
Molecule: ribosomal RNA, 402 nt
Filed under: bacterium
Lineage: Bacteria
Description: partial 16S ribosomal RNA
Rfam family: Bacterial small subunit ribosomal RNA
Source: RNAcentral